Molecule: long non-coding RNA, 983 nt
Filed under: Capra hircus (goat)
Lineage: Eukaryota; Metazoa; Chordata; Mammalia; Artiodactyla; Bovidae
Description: lncRNA (ENSCHIG00000001543.1)
Source: RNAcentral
AUGGGUUACAUCUGUGAGGUCACAAAGAGUUGGACACAACUGAGCCUGAGCACAGAUUCUGAUGCUCCAAUUCUAGACCUGGCCUACUUUUCCAGUUACAGUGCUGUUCCUCUGUCUUCUACAUGCCCUGGUUUCUUUCUCCUUCUCUACCAUCAAGGAACCAAAAUGAAAGAGGAAGUUACAUGGGAACGACAUUCCAUCUUUCCUGGAGAACAAUUUUCCUGUCAAAAAUUCGCGAGGAAGAAUAAAGAGCUCAGUGGCGCCUGCCUGGAAUACAGGACUCUGGAUCAGGGGUCUGCAGUAUUCCUGAAGAGGAGCAGAAUGUGGAGCACUGGAAGCCUUGGAAUGAUGAAGACUGAUGAUCUGGCAGAGGGUCGGAGGGGAGUGUCUAGAGUCAGGGAAACCAUAAGUGUGAUGUGGAGGAGGGUGUGGGUGAGGGAUGGUGACAAGGCAGCAUUCAGCCGCCUGUCUCCUCAUUGCGUGCUGUAAGCUGGCGAAAAUCAUGGCCCUGGAGUCCACCUGGACCACCCGCAAAGAACUGCCUCCUACAAGGUGGUCUCAGUGGCAAGGUGGCUCCAUGUGGUAAUUUAUUAUGUCUAAGCUCCAGCUAAUCUGAACUAACCCCUCAGCUUCACCCUGUAAAUCUCUCACAGAACUCUCAUUGAGUCUUUAUAGUUUUUGUCACACUCUGUACUUCAAUAUUAAAAAAAAAAUUUCCAUUAAUUGUCACCAUAACUACAUAAUAAACUCUAUAGUGGCAAGAGCAAUGUCUGUUUUGUCACCAAAUAUAACACCAAGAAUAGUUCUUGAAACAUAAUAGUCAAUUGCCUAGUAAAUACAUGAUGAAUAAAUAGGUGAAUUAAUGAAUGAAUAAAGCAUAUGUCAGGUUUUUUUUGUAACUUAGAGUGUUAAUACCAUUUUCACAAAGUGUGGGAUGUGAUUUUGCAAAUGUGAUGUACUUACAGUUUCCAGUUUUAAUUGAA